RNAcentral lists this transfer RNA (73 nucleotides) under Camelus bactrianus (Bactrian camel). It matches the Rfam family "tRNA". From Rfam's summary of the family: Transfer RNA (tRNA) molecules are approximately 80 nucleotides in length. Their secondary structure includes four short double-helical elements and three loops (D, anti-codon, and T loops). The record is from Rfam by way of RNAcentral. RNAcentral also lists the same sequence under 2 other names. Lineage: Eukaryota; Metazoa; Chordata; Mammalia; Artiodactyla; Camelidae.
GAGAGUAUAGCUCAACUGGUAAAGCGCAUGCUUAGCAUGCAUGAGGUCCUGGGUUCAAUUCCCAGUACCUCCU